GCUUUUGUAGCUCAGUUGGUUAGAGCACCUGUUUAGUAUGCGGGAGGUCUUGAGUUUAACUCCCAACAAGAGCA
Molecule: transfer RNA, 74 nt
Organism: Ipomoea nil (Japanese morning glory)
Lineage: Eukaryota; Viridiplantae; Streptophyta; Magnoliopsida; Solanales; Convolvulaceae
Rfam family: tRNA
About the family: Transfer RNA (tRNA) molecules are approximately 80 nucleotides in length. Their secondary structure includes four short double-helical elements and three loops (D, anti-codon, and T loops).
Source: Rfam